Cydia pomonella (codling moth) is the source of this 495-nucleotide long non-coding RNA. RefSeq lists it as uncharacterized. NCBI's taxonomy places the organism in Eukaryota, Metazoa, Arthropoda, Insecta, Lepidoptera, Tortricidae. The transcript has 5 exons. The record is from RefSeq and is a predicted model, not a curated record.
AUAGUAUUGCUUGUUCAGAUGCAUAAAAUACACGUAUAUGCAAGAGGGUAUAUAAGGGUCACUUGUGUUUGUAUUAUAUUAUUCAUAUUCUCUGGGAUCGAGGUAAUCGACGGAACUCCGACAAAAUGAAACUUUGCUGCCUCUUUUUCCUUGCCCUGAUCACCUUCGUAGCCAGCACUCCAUUUUUUGAAGUCUUGGACAAGCCUAAUGUUGGCGCCGCAGCUCCCAUAAAUGUUCUUGGAGACCAAAAAGCUGCUGGGGAGAAAGGAGAUAGAGGUCCACCCUGAGGAAGGAAUCAAUGUCAAAAGUGCUCGAUUCUUCAUACUUUUGCUUUUUUAUUACGAUUACCCGUUAUUUUUAAAAUUCUAAAUUACAAAUACAAAAAAUAUUAAUAAAAAUAAAUUGUAUAUUUCAUAGUUCUAAAUAUUUAAAUUUCAUAUAAUUAUAAUUUUUACUCAUUUAAUUUUACCCUGUUCAUUAUACUUACUGCUUAAU